AUUGAACGCUGGCGGCAUGCCUUACACAUGCAAGUCGAACGGCAGCACGGGAGCAAUCCUGGUGGCGAGUGGCGAACGGGUGAGUAAUAUAUCGGAACGUGCCCGGUCGUGGGGAUAACGUAGCGAAAGCUACGCUAAUACCGCAUACGAUCUACGGAUGAAAGCGGGGGAUCGCAAGACCUCGCGCGAUUGGAGCGGCCGAUAUCAGAUUAGGUAGUUGGUGAGGUAAAGGCUCACCAAGCCGACGAUCUGUAGCUGGUCUGAGAGGACGACCAGCCACACUGGGACUGAGACACGGCCCAGACUCCUACGGGAGGCAGCAGUGGGAAUUUUGGACAAUGGGCGCAAGCCUGAUCCAGCAAUGCCGCGUGCAGGAUGAAGGCCUUC
This 387-nucleotide ribosomal RNA is filed under the name uncultured bacterium. RNAcentral's name for it is "bacterial SSU rRNA". It matches the Rfam family "Bacterial small subunit ribosomal RNA", at positions 30 to 419 of the family's 1533-position model. The record is from RNAcentral.